GGCUCAUGGGGUCGAUGAAGAACGCAGCCAACUGUGUGAAUUAAUGUGAACUGCAAACUGCCUUGAGCAUCGACUUCUUGAACGCAAAUUGCGGCAUUAAGCCCUGCCUG
RNAcentral lists this ribosomal RNA (110 nucleotides) under Eudiplozoon nipponicum. RNAcentral describes it as "partial 5.8S ribosomal RNA". It matches the Rfam family "5.8S ribosomal RNA", at positions 23 to 143 of the family's 154-position model. From Rfam's summary of the family: 5.8S ribosomal RNA (5.8S rRNA) is a component of the large subunit of the eukaryotic ribosome. It is transcribed by RNA polymerase I as part of the 45S precursor that also contains 18S and 28S rRNA. The record is from RNAcentral. Lineage: Eukaryota; Metazoa; Platyhelminthes; Monogenea; Mazocraeidea; Diplozoidae.